RNAcentral lists this ribosomal RNA (466 nucleotides) under uncultured crenarchaeote. Its description in RNAcentral is "bacterial SSU rRNA". It matches the Rfam family "Archaeal small subunit ribosomal RNA", at positions 1 to 474 of the family's 1478-position model. Lineage: Archaea; Thermoproteati; Thermoproteota. The record is from RNAcentral.
CUCCCGUUGAUCCUGCGGGACCUGACUGCUAUCGGAUUGGUACUAAGCCAUGCGAGUCGUUGUAGCAAUACAAGGCGGACGGCUCAGUAACACGUAGUCAAUCUAACCUAUGGACGUGGAUAACCUCGGGAAACUGAGAAUAAUACACGAUAGAUCAUGAUGCCUGGAAUGGUUUAUGAUCAAAAUGAUUUAUCGCCGUAGGAUGGGACUGCGGCCUAUCAGCUUGUUGGUGAGGUAAUGGCCCACCAAGGCUAUAACAGGUACGGGCUCUGAGAGGAGAAGCCCGGAGAUGGGUACUGAGACACGGACCCAGGCCCUAUGGGGCGCAGCAGGCGAGAAACCUUAGCAAUGUGCGAAAGCACGACUAGGUUAAUCCGAGUGAUUUCUGCUGAAGAAAUCUUUUGUCAGUUUUAAAAGUACAGACGAAUAAGGGGUGGGCAAGUCUGGUGCCAGCAGCCGCGGUAAU